RNAcentral lists this ribosomal RNA (430 nucleotides) under Lysinibacillus xylanilyticus. RNAcentral's name for it is "bacterial SSU rRNA". It matches the Rfam family "Bacterial small subunit ribosomal RNA", at positions 1 to 419 of the family's 1533-position model. The record is from RNAcentral. Lineage: Bacteria; Bacillati; Bacillota; Bacilli; Caryophanales; Bacillaceae.
UUUAUGGAGAGUUUGAUCCUGGCUCAGGACGAACGCUGGCGGCGUGCCUAAUACAUGCAAGUCGAGCGAACAGAAAAGGAGCUUGCUCCUUUGACGUUAGCGGCGGACGGGUGAGUAACACGUGGGCAACCUACCUUAUAGUUUGGGAUAACUCCGGGAAACCGGGGCUAAUACCGAAUAAUCUAUUUCACUUCAUGGUGAAAUACUGAAAGACGGUUUCGGCUGUCGCUAUAAGAUGGGCCCGCGGCGCAUUAGCUAGUUGGUGAGGUAACGGCUCACCAAGGCGACGAUGCGUAGCCGACCUGAGAGGGUGAUCGGCCACACUGGGACUGAGACACGGCCCAGACUCCUACGGGAGGCAGCAGUAGGGAAUCUUCCACAAUGGGCGAAAGCCUGAUGGAGCAACGCCGCGUGAGUGAAGAAGGUUUUC